AACGCGAAGAACCUUACCUGGGCUUGAACUACUCGUGGUAGUUCGCUGGAAACAGUGGACGACCCGCAAGGGAGCGAGCAGAGGUGCUGCAUGGUUGUCGUCAGCUCGUGUCGUGAGAUGUUGGGUUAAGUCCCGCAACGAGCGCAACCCUUAUCUUCAGUUGCUACCAUUUAGUUGAGCACUCUGACGAAACCGCCUCGGAUAACGGGGAGGAAGGUGGGGAUGACGUCAAGUCCUCAUGGCCUUUAUGUCCAGGGCUACACACGUGCUACAAUGGCCGGUACAAACCGUCGCAAACCCGUGAGGGGGAGCUAAUCGGAAAAAGCCGGCCUCAGUUCGGAUUAGAGUCUGCAACUCGACUCUAUGAAGCUGGAAUCGCUAGUAAUCGCGGAUCAGAACGCCGCGGUGAAUACGUUCCCGGGCCUUGUACACACCGCGCAUA
This 442-nucleotide ribosomal RNA is filed under the name uncultured bacterium. RNAcentral describes it as "bacterial SSU rRNA". It matches the Rfam family "Bacterial small subunit ribosomal RNA", at positions 958 to 1398 of the family's 1533-position model. The record is from RNAcentral.